This 465-nucleotide ribosomal RNA is filed under the name uncultured bacterium. RNAcentral describes it as "partial 16S ribosomal RNA". It matches the Rfam family "Bacterial small subunit ribosomal RNA", at positions 28 to 507 of the family's 1533-position model. The record is from RNAcentral.
GACGAACGCUGGCGGCGUGCUUAACACAUGCAAGUCGAGCGGAAAGGCCCCUUUGGGGGUACUCGAGUGGCGAACGGGUGAGUAACACGUGAGUAACCUGCCCUUGACUUCGGGAUAACUUCAGGAAACUGGGGCUAAUACCGGAUAGGAAUCCUUGCUGCAUGGUGGGGGUUGGAAAGCUUCGGCGGUUUUGGAUGGACUCGCGGCUUAUCAGCUUGUUGGUGGGGUAGUGGCUUACCAAGGCUUUGACGGGUAGCCGGCCUGAGAGGGCGACCGGCCACAUUGGGACUGAGAUACGGCCCAGACUCCUACGGGAGGCAGCAGGGGGGAAUAUUGCACAAUGGGCGGAAGCCUGAUGCAGCAACGCCGCGUGCGGGAUGACGGCCUUCGGGUUGUAAACCGCUUUCAGCAGGGGCGAAGCUUGUGGUGACGGUACCUGCAGAAGAAGCACCGGCUAACUACGUG